This 30-nucleotide non-coding RNA is filed under the name Rattus norvegicus (Norway rat). The record is from RNAcentral. Lineage: Eukaryota; Metazoa; Chordata; Mammalia; Rodentia; Muridae.
UGAUACCAAGGGCCAAGCCCUCCCUGCUUC